Molecule: transfer RNA, 85 nt
Filed under: Felis catus (domestic cat)
Lineage: Eukaryota; Metazoa; Chordata; Mammalia; Carnivora; Felidae
Rfam family: tRNA
About the family: Transfer RNA (tRNA) molecules are approximately 80 nucleotides in length. Their secondary structure includes four short double-helical elements and three loops (D, anti-codon, and T loops).
Source: Rfam by way of RNAcentral
GCCUCGGUAGCUCAGUCAGUUAAGCAUCUGACUUCAGCUCAGGUCAUGAUCUUGCCGUUUGUGGGUUCAAGCCCCACACUGGGCU